CGGAUUCAUGAGUGGUAUAGCCGGAAACGUGAGAGUUAUCCGGAUUCGUGAGUGGAGUUUUACUUUGGUUGAAUCGGAAGUGAGAAAGGAAGAAGAUUGAGAUUGUGUGUGAGCAGAUAGAGAGUAUUGGGUUUGUUCAUGGCCGAUUUUUGCAGGGAGAAAUAAAUUUUCAUUUUUGGCAUUUUUUCUCCUAAUUACUGUGAAGCGGUCGUGUUUGUU
RNAcentral lists this long non-coding RNA (219 nucleotides) under Lathyrus oleraceus (garden pea). Its description in RNAcentral is "Pisum sativum (pea) long non-coding RNA (PSAT_LNC027845)". Lineage: Eukaryota; Viridiplantae; Streptophyta; Magnoliopsida; Fabales; Fabaceae. The record is from RNAcentral.